RNAcentral lists this ribosomal RNA (402 nucleotides) under uncultured bacterium. RNAcentral describes it as "bacterial SSU rRNA". It matches the Rfam family "Bacterial small subunit ribosomal RNA", at positions 355 to 774 of the family's 1533-position model. The record is from RNAcentral.
UCGGGAAUUUUGGGCAAUGGGCGAAAGCCUGACCCAGCAACGCCGCGUGAGGGAUGAAGUAUUUCGGUAUGUAAACCUCGAAAGAAUGGGAAGAAUAAAUGACGGUACCAUUUAUAAGCUCCGGCUAACUACGUGCCAGCAGCCGCGGUAAUACGUAGGGAGCAAGCGUUGUUCGGAUUUACUGGGCGUAAAGGGCGCGUAGGCGGCGCGGUAAGUCACUUGUGAAAUCUCUGAGCUUAACUCAGAACGGCCAAGUGAUACUGCUGGGCUAGAGGGCGGAAGAGGCAAUCGGAAUGCUGGGUGUAGCGGUGAAAUGCGUAGAUAUCAAGAGGAACACCUGAGGCGAAGGCGGGUUGCUGGGCCGACACUGACGCUGAUGCGCGAAAGCCCGGGGAGCAAACA